GCAAAGCCGCGAGGUGGAGCAAAUCUCAAAAAGACCGUCCCAGUUCGGAUUGCAGGCUGCAACCCGCCUGCAUGAAGUUGGAAUCGCUAGUAAUCGCGGAUCAGCAUGCCGCGGUGAAUACGUUCCCGGGCCUUGUACACACCGCCCGUCACACCAUGAGAGUCGGGAACACCCGAAGUCCGUAGCCUGACCGCAAGGGGGGCGCGGCCGAAGGUGGGUUCGAUAAUUGGGGUGAAGUCGUAACAAGGUACC
RNAcentral lists this ribosomal RNA (252 nucleotides) under uncultured bacterium. RNAcentral's name for it is "partial 16S ribosomal RNA". It matches the Rfam family "Bacterial small subunit ribosomal RNA", at positions 1249 to 1500 of the family's 1533-position model. The record is from RNAcentral.